This 363-nucleotide ribosomal RNA is filed under the name Podarcis tauricus (Crimean wall lizard). RNAcentral describes it as "partial 12S ribosomal RNA". It matches the Rfam family "Bacterial small subunit ribosomal RNA", at positions 868 to 1395 of the family's 1533-position model. The record is from RNAcentral. Lineage: Eukaryota; Metazoa; Chordata; Lepidosauria; Squamata; Lacertidae.
UCCGCCAGAGAACUACAAGUGAAAAACUUAAAACUCAAAGGACUUGACGGUGUCCCAUAUCGACCUAGAGGAGCCUGUCCUAUAAUCGAUACCCCCCGUUUCACCCAACCCCAACUAGCAAAAUAUCAGCCUAUAUACCGCCGUCGACAGUUUACCCUAUGAAGGCCCAACAGUAAACAUAAUAGCCCCAAGACGCUAAUACGUCAGGUCAAGGUGUAGCAAAUGUUGAGGAAGAGAUUGGCUACAUUUUUUAAAAUAAAAAACACGGAUUGCACUAUGAAAUGCUGCAUGAAGGUGAAUUUAGUAGUAAAACAGAUAAGAGUGUCUGUUUUAACAACGCUCUGGGACGCGUACACACCGCCC